AUUCUCAAACUCUCUAUAUGUUCCCUCCUCUGCCUUCUUCCUCAGUCUCUCUCUCUCUCCUUCCUAUCUUCCUCCAAAUCACUCUCUCUCCAGUCUUCUUAUGUCCUUCUCACGGAUUCCUUCUUCCAAACCAUCAUUUUCCCUCGUCCCUUUCAAAUCGGAACCCCCUCCAAAUUAUAAGAUUCUAACUGGAUUUUCCGAUCUCUCACAGGUAAUUUUCAAAUCAAAACAAAUAUGAUUUGUAUUGUGGUUUUUCUGAAUUAAAAUGGGUUUUUCUUUUAAUUAUUUUGUUGGGUUUUUGCAUAUUGUUCAUAUUUUGGGGUUUUCCAUAUUGUCUAUUCAUUUUCUCCAUUAAUUUCUAGUAACCCAACAAAUCAUUGGUGUUAGGAUAAAUAAAUUAUGCAAUUUAUUUUGACAUGAAAGCAAAAAAUUAAUAAACCAGUGUAGUAAUCCUACAAAUUUUAUGGAAAGGUGAUAUAUUUAUGUUUACUUUCAUGUGUUUAAACAUCCAUUUCAAAAGACAGUUGAUGGAUCUCGUUUUAAUUUACAAGCACAUCGCUUCCAUUGUUGUGGGAAACCAUGGAAUUCAAGUGGUUGUUGCUGGGCAUCAUUGCGGAAAUGCAAGUGGGAACUAUGGGAUAGCACCUCGUUCACAUAAAUAAUUAUAGGUCCUCGUUGCAAAUUUUUCUACAACUAGAAUGUAAGAUCCCACAUCGCCCAUGGAUGAGGAUCCUAUAAGCCUUAUAUGUAUAUUCCCAUCUUUACCUAGCACGAGGCCUUUUGGGAGCUCAUUGGCUUCGGGUUCCAUCGGAACUCCGAAGUUAAGCGAAUUCAUGUGAGAGCAAUCCCAUGAUGGGUGACCCACUAGGAAGUUCUUGUAUAAGUUCCUAGAAACAAAACCAUGAGGACGUGGUCGGGGCCCAAAGUGAACAAUAUCGUGCUACAGUUGAGUCGAGUUCGGGAUGUGGUGGGGGCCCGGGCCGGGAUGUGACAAUUUGGUAUCAAAGCCACUCCUUGGCCUGAAGUGUGCCGAGAGGACUUCAGGCCCCUAAUGGGGGUAGAUUGUAAGAUCCCAUAUCGUCCAGGGGUGAGGAUCCUGUACGCCUUAUAUGUAUUUUCCCAUCUCUACCUAGCACGAGGCCUUUUAGGAGCUUAUUGGCAUUGGUUUCCAUCGGAACUUCGAAGUUAAACAAGUUCGUGCGAGAGCAAUCCCAUGAUGGGUGACCCAUUGGGAAGUUCUCAUGUGAGUUCCCAGAAACAACACUGUGAGGGCGUGGUCGAGGCCCAAAGCGGACAAUAUCAUUCUACGGUGGAGUCGAGACAGGGAUUAGUGGGGGCCCAGGUCGAGAUGUGACAUAAAAGAUUCACUAACCCUUAUCAUUUGUGACGUUUUGAACUGAAUCAACAACAAUGUUUUAUUAGGAAUUUUUUUUCUAUUGAAAGGAAAGAAAAAAUAAAUAAAAAACAAAACCGAACCGAAAAAAACUGAAAAAAAAUAGAACCAAACUCAACCGAAUCGAAAUUUCGAUUCGGUUUCGGUUUUGGCAGAAAACCAUUUCGAACUGAACCCAGCCCUAAUGGCAGAUUGUAAACUUAUUCACACACCAUCUUCUCCUGGCCGUCACCUUUUCUUGCACGACAGGGAACCUCUUUCUGAUGCCACAAAGUUUCUCAAUGUUGUAAGUGCUCUUCAAUAUCUCUUCACCUGUCCUGACAUUGCUUUCUCCGUCAACCAGGUCUGCCAGUUUAUGCAUUCUCCCAUAACAGUACACUGGGCUGCUGUCAAAUGCAUUUUGCGUUACCUUAAGGGCACUCAUGAUCAUGGCUUGCUCUAUCGUCCGAGUUCUCUCUCUAUUACUGCUUAUGCCGACACCGAUUAUGUCGGUGAUCCUAAUGAUCGUCGAUCCAUAAGAGGCUACUAUAUUUUUCUCAGUUCUAAUUUGAUUUCCUAGAGCUCAAAGAAGUAACACGGCGUUUCUCGCUUAAGCAUUGAAGCCAAGUAUCGUUAACUAGCAUAUACUGCCGCUACUUUGUUAUGGUUUCAAAACUUAUUUCAUGAUCUUCAUCUUUAUCUUACACCACCUCAAUUAUGGUGUGAUAAUAUAGGUGCUCUUGUCAUGGCUUCCAAUCCUGUCUAUCAAGCACGAAUGUGACAUGUCGAAGUUGAUUAUCAUUAUGUUCGUGAAAAGGUUACUCGAAAGGAAAUUGUUGUGGGCUAUGUUGCUUUUCCAGAUCAGGUGGCUGACUUUCUCGCAAAGGGUUUGUCUUCCACUCGGUUUCGUUUCCUUCUUUCCAAGCUUCCCGUUCUCAGUCGUCCGUUCAGCUUGCGAGGGCAUGAUAAACUAUAAGUCUCUAAUCCAUAUCCUCAACAUUGUUUGCUGUGACUCCUUCACUCAAGUUACCUCUACUGAGAGUUAUUUGAUAUACUCUCUUGUAUUAUCUCAUAUUUUGGGAUUUAUAGAAUUGUUAUUUGUAUCAAACACUAUUUGUAACUUAUUGAUGUAAAUCAUCUCUAUAAAUACAAAUUUACUAUCUCUCUCAGAUUUAACUGAGUUGAGCAUCAAUAACUCUUUUAGCCCUUUACAAUCUUAUGCUUGAUUAUUUCUCUUUCACUCUCUCCUUCAAUUUAAAAAACAAAAAUAAAAAAAUUUCACACCCACACACAAGUGUGUGAGCAUAUACUAGUUGUAAUUAAGAUUUGGGGGGACUACUCUAACAAAGGUCUUUGUCAAUCCCGUAUAUAAUACACACAACGACGGGAACAACAAAAAUUGAUACCAUAACAUGUCAUAUUAGCAUUUGGACAAUAAUAUAGCAACGAUCUAUCAAUGCCACAACUAAUCAAUUCUUUAACAGUAAACACUAACCUACCUCUUCGUCUGUUUUUCCUCUGUUAAAACUGGUUGCAUGUCCUUCUCUAAGGGAAGGGAUCCUCUCCAAAUCCUGAAGUUUGGCUGCAAGCCUUGCCUCCAACACAACAGCAAAGCCAUUGCAGCUUCAUCUUCUUCCUCGAACAGGUCCGCAAAGCCACGAUCUCAACUUGCCUCCACCUCCGCACCCUCUCAACCCCUCCCGCCGUCAACACCAUCGUCGGGGAUUCGAUGCAAAUGAUGCGGUGGCCAUUGCGGCCAUCACAGCUUCUUCCUAUUCCGAUGGCGCCAAAACAUUUUCUUGACCGUUCAAUUUUCUUUUGAACAGUUAAGAUUGAAGAAUCCUCGGGAUCCGGAGAAGAUCCUAUUCCCUUCUCUACUCUUGUCCUCCAUUUUUUCUGGUGCGAAGAAAAGAAUGUUGUGUCCAAAUACAAUUAUAAAAGAAAUAAUAAUUCUCUUUGAUAAGAAAAAAAAUUCAUUUCUCUUUAGAAACAAAUUAUAAUUUAGAAAAAAAAAGAAGCAAUUUCAAGGAAAGCAAAUUCUUAUAGAAAAGUUUAGUGUAAUAUUUCAUAAGGAUCUUUGUUUGCAUGUAAAUUUCAGGUGCUUCUAACAAUUACUUGUGUGAAAUUGUUUCUGUAAGAGCUAAAAUUACUUUUUGACAACUAAAAAGAAUUCUGAUGCACAAUUCUCUAUCCUCAUUCAUGAUAGUGAUGGAGAACGAUGACAAUGAAAAUUUAGCAGUAAUAAAAGAAAAGACCGAAAAUGAAAAUUAGAAGUCAUAAAAGAAAAUUAGUACAACGCUUAUGAGCAAGAAUAUUUUCUUACAGAACGAGUCAAACAACAACAUUGGUUUUUACAACACUCCUAAACCACGCCCUAGAUCUUCAACGAGCAAAUUAAAUUUCACUACAAAUGACUAAUGUGCCUGCAUAUAUAAGUGGAGCCCAAAUAAAUGGGUUUAGGCCUACCGGGCAUUGUUUCCUUCUUUUUGUGAAUACAAAGAAUAAUACUUGGGUAUUGAUAAUAUACUGAAUUUGUGAUGUAAUCAGAAGAUGUUAUGUGUGUUUUUUUACGGUCGAAAUAUUAUGUGUGUUUAGAAGUUCAAGAAAAACUAAAUAUAUAAAUUACUAUUGUAAACAAUAAAUUUAAAAUAUUAUUCGACCAAAUUACUAAAUCAGUAGUAUCGCCAAUUUCGCAAUCUUCAACCAACUCUAUUUUGGUCAAAAGAGCUUAUUCUUCCCCGAUUCCUGUUUUAGAGCCGAAUCAAAAUAUAAUUGCUCGCUCGAAGCGGCAUUCAGGAUAUUUUUAUCCAGGAACCUAAGCACGAAUGUGCGCUGAGAAGUAUCACACUAAAAAAUAAACUUUUUUUUUAACAAACGAUAUUAUCCACCCUAAAGGGGGAGCUGGUGGGCUUAGCCUCACAAUAGGCUAGCAAUAAUGUGGUUCAAAUUUAUCUUUGACAAGAAUCGAACCUAAGAUCUCUCACUCACAAGCACUGUUCUAAAAAGUUGUUCAUAGGUUCAUUCUUUAUCAUAUUUUCAUGUAAAGAAUUGAUUAUAAAAGAGCCUUAUUACUUCAUUUCCUUAAUUUCAGCCAAUCUGCACACUUAGAACGUUUUUGGUGAUAAUUCGACUUUCCAGAGGAGUUUAUGUGCAAGGCCAAUUGGAGAAGGAAGCUAAGAGGCUGAAUCUCGUUGUUUCCAAAUUUCAUAAUUUUCCAUGGAGCCAUAUUUAUUCCAGUUUUACAAAUCAAUCCCGCA
This 4629-nucleotide long non-coding RNA is filed under the name Malus domestica (apple). The record is from RNAcentral. Lineage: Eukaryota; Viridiplantae; Streptophyta; Magnoliopsida; Rosales; Rosaceae.